GGAAGUUCUGGGCUAGGGAUUAACCUAUGACCUAUGUUGUAGCUGUGGCAACACCAGAUCCUUUAACCCAGUGCACUGGGCCGGGGGAUUGAACAUGAGCCUCCACGGUGACCUGAACUGCUGCAAUCAUAUUCUUAACCCACAGCAGAAACUCCUGAUAAUUUAUUUUCAAAAUUUAUUUAUUAUUUUAGAAAUCAGUCUUUCUAUUUCUCCAAAAAUGCUUUUGGAAUUUCAAUAAGGAUUGCAUUAAAUCUGUAUUUUUGAGGAGUAUUGCCAUCUUAACAGUAUUAAGGUUUUUCAGUCUAUGGACAUAAAUGUUUUAUAAUUUAUUUAGAUCUUUAAUUUCUUUCAGAAAUAUGUAUAGUUUUCAGUGUAUGAGUCUUUUUCCUCCUUGUCAAAUGUGUUCUUAGGUAUUCAUUCUUUUGAAAAUGUUGUCGAUGGAAUUGUUUCAUUAUUUUCUUUGAAGAUUGUUCAUUUCUGGUGCUUUUUUUUUUUUUUUUUUUCGUUUUUGCCCUUUCUAGCGCUGCACCUGCGGCAUAUGGAGGUUCUCAGACUAGGAGUCUAAUCAGAGCUGUAGCUGCCCACCUACACCAGAGCCAUAGCAAUGCCAGAUCUGAGCCAUGUCUGCAACCUACACCACAGCUCACGGCAACACCAGAUCCUUAACCUACUGAGCGAGACCAGGGAUUGAACCCGCGACCUCAUGGUUCCUAAUCAGAUUCACUAACCACUGAGCCACGAUGGGAACUCCAGUUUCUGGUGCUUUAAAACAGCUGAUAGUUGUGUAUUUAUCUUGUACCUGUCAAUUUGCUGAAUUCAUUUAUUAGCUUUAGAAAGUUUUUAUGAAUUCUUUGGGAUUUCUAUAUGGGAUUAUUUUAUCUGUGAACAGAUAUAGCUUUACUUAUUCUUUUUCAAUUUGGAUGCCUUUAAUUUCUUUUUCUGGCCUAAUGCUUUGGCCACAACUUCCGGUAUCAUGUUCAGUAGUUUUAAGAAAGUGGCGUCAUUGCCUUGUUCCAGAUCUUAGGGGGAAAGCCUUUAGUCUUUUACCGUUGUAUGUGAUCUGAGUUAUUGGUUUUUCACAGAUGUCUUUUAUAAUGUCGAAGAAGUUCCCUUCUAUUUCUAGUUUUCUCGAUGGUUUUAUCAUGAAAGAGUAUUGGAUUAUGUCAAGCAGAAUUACCACAAAUUUACAACACAAAUUUAUUAUAUCUGACAUGAGCCUUAUUGGACUAAAAUCAAAAUAUGGGCUGGACUGUUUUCUUUCCAAAGACUUUAGGGGAGAAGGGGUUUCCUUGCCUUUUCCAGCUUCUAGAGGUCACCUGCAUGGCUUCUUCCAUCUUGAAAGCCAACAAUGUUGUAUCUCUCUGACCAUUUUCCGUAAUUACAUCUUACUCUGAUCCUCAAUAAGGAAAGAAAGGUUACCGAUUUUAAGAACCUGCAUGAUUUGGUUGGGCCUACUCUAAUAAUCGAGGAUAAUUGCCCUAGCUCAAGAUUCCCAACCUUAAUCACAUUUGUAAAGUUGUUGUAGCCAACCUAUUCAUAGGUUCUUUGGUCAGGAUACAGUUGCACUGCACUUUUGAAUUAUUUCUAAGUAAUAUACUUCUAAGUAUAUUGUAAGUAUAAUUAAUAUACCAACAAUUGAAGUUUCUCUGCUUAUCUUUUUGUUACUGAUUUCUACCUUAAUUCCACGGUGUCCAGUGAACUUUGAAUGAUUUUAAUUUUUUAAAAAUUUAUUGAAGCUUUCUUUAUGGCUAAACCAUCCUGCCUGCUUAAUCAUUUUAAUACAGAGCGUUGAAAUGGGGAUGCUUGAUACAUUCAAACAACUAUUUGAAGGUUGGCUGUCUUAUUUAUGUUUGUAGGAUAUUUUCUUAUGUUUUAGUAGUCUUUGCCUUAUUUUUGCUAGUUAAUCAGUCAUUGUAGAAUAGUCGUAGGUAGUUAAGGUUAAAUUGAUUUUUGAACUAAAUGCAAUAUCAUUAAAAUAUUCUCUGAUUAAUGAAGCCAUACCUGCUUUAUUGGCUGUGGGCAAAAAGUUCACAAAUAAAGUAAAAUAUUGCUAUAAAACAGUUAUCUUGAAUAGGCCCAGAUCAGUGAAAGCCCCUUUCCCUACAAAGGAAAAACACACUAUAGGACAAUAAAGAACAAAAACUUUGAUUACCCAGGACGUAUGAAAGCAGAGAUUAGAAACAAAGAACCUCAAAUUGGGUUUUUUGUUGUAGUUGAUUGGUUUGGUACCUGGACGGGGGAACAAUGCUUUGACUUGCACUGUUAAUGAAAGGCCCAUCUUUAUCCAAGUAACAAGAUUAGAAGACAUAAAAAAUGAGAAGAAAAGUUGAGAGAAUGGCAGUCAGUUAAAAAAGUGCCAUUAAUUUGUACGUUCCUAGUCUUCAAAUUACUUUUAUUAAUGCCUCUUAAUAACUAACCUAUCUACUUUUUCUCUCUAGUAUCACUCAGUUUUCUAUUUCUCUAUUUAGUUUUCAUGAUCCAUCAUUUCAAAAAGUCUUUUGGCAGAUACCUUAAUCUUCCCUGUUUUUUGACUUUACGUUACUCUUAACUGUCAAAUCCCCAGCCAUGGAUUAAUUUAUCCACUUGUUCUGGAGUAUCCAUGAAUUUCCUGAAUUUCUGGUUUGUAGAGGUUGCUAACCGAAAUGAAUUCAUUGUUACUCAUCUGAACUGGGCCCUCGAUAAUGUUGCUUACCUUAAUGUUCCUUUAUGAACGCACAUGUAUAUGAUCUGCAGUGGUCGUAUUUCAUUACAGCCUCUGCUUUCCUAAAUCUCUUCACUUUUCCAAUGACACCACACUUUCCUUCAUUUUCUUUCUUAGGCUGACUUUUCUAAAUCUACUUUGCCAGUUCCUUCUUUCCCAUUAGACCUUUAAACGUUGAAGUUUAUUGAUUCUUGGUUGUCAACCAUCUUAGGCCCCUUACCCUGCUUUCCUAGGUGAUUUCAGCUUUACACAGUUUUGGUGACUAUCUGCAGUUAACACUGUAUGAAAGAAAUGCAAUGUAAGUGCAUAUCUAAAUAAAAAAUUUCCAAUAGCUAUAUUAAAACUAGAAAUUCCACAACUGCUCAGCAUGAGUAACAGGGGCUAUCUCUCCUUCAUGAAGCAGCUAAAAAACCAGAGCAUAUGUCACAACGGUUUUCAAGUCCCUAGACAUUAGGUGAUGAAGGACAGUGUUUUCUGAGAUAGAGGAAACAAAUGAGAUGAAUCUUAGGAUGGCCCAGUUUACUGCCUUGAGUUUC
This 3237-nucleotide long non-coding RNA is filed under the name Sus scrofa (pig). RNAcentral's name for it is "lncRNA (ENSSSCG00035042187.1)". Lineage: Eukaryota; Metazoa; Chordata; Mammalia; Artiodactyla; Suidae. The record is from RNAcentral.